Molecule: ribosomal RNA, 253 nt
Filed under: uncultured bacterium
Lineage: Bacteria
Description: partial 16S ribosomal RNA
Rfam family: Bacterial small subunit ribosomal RNA
Source: RNAcentral
UACAGAGGAGCCAAGCGUUGUCCGGAUUGACUGGGCGUAAAGCGCACGCAGGCGGUUGCGCGCGUGGGGUGGGAAAUCUGGCCGCUUAACGGCCAGGCGCCAUCCCAUACGGCGCGACUGGAGUGAUGCAGAGGUCGAUGGAAUUGCCGGUGUAGUGGUGAAAUGCGUAGAGAUCGGCAGGAACACCCAGGGGGAAACCAGUCGACUGGGCAUCUACUGACGCUGAGGUGCGAGAGCGUGGGGAGCGAACCGG